RNAcentral lists this ribosomal RNA (388 nucleotides) under uncultured bacterium. Its description in RNAcentral is "partial 16S ribosomal RNA". It matches the Rfam family "Bacterial small subunit ribosomal RNA", at positions 523 to 918 of the family's 1533-position model. The record is from RNAcentral.
AUACGUAGGUGGCAAGCGUUAUCCGGAAUUAUUGGGCGUAAAGAGUGAGCAGGCGGUUAAUUAAGUCUGAGGUUAAAGCGUGGGGCUCAACCCCAUAAAGCCUUGGAAACUGAUUGACUAGAGGAAGGGAGAAGUGAAGGGAAAUCCAUGUGUAGCGGUGAAAUGCGUAGAUAUAUGGAAGAACACCAGUGGCGAAGGCGCUUCACUAGCCCGAAACUGACGCUCAGUCACGAAAGCGUGGGUAGCAAAUAGGAUUAGAUACCCUAGUAGUCCACGCUGUAAACGAUGACAACUAAAUAUUGCCGCGAGGCAGUGUUGAAGCUAACGCAUUAAGUUGUCCGCCUGGGGAGUACGGUCGCAAGACUGAAACUUAAAGGAAUUGACGGGG